RNAcentral lists this ribosomal RNA (450 nucleotides) under uncultured bacterium. RNAcentral describes it as "bacterial SSU rRNA". It matches the Rfam family "Bacterial small subunit ribosomal RNA", at positions 354 to 796 of the family's 1533-position model. The record is from RNAcentral.
GUGGGGAAUAUUGGACAAUGGGCGAAAGCCUGAUCCAGCCAUGCCGCGUGUGUGAAGAAGGUCUUCGGAUUGUAAAGCACUUUAAGUUGGGAGGAAGGGCAGUAAGUUAAUACCUUGCUGUUUUGACGUUACCGACAGAAUAAGCACCGGCUAACUUCGUGCCAGCAGCCGCGGUAAUACGAAGGGUGCAAGCGUUAAUCGGAAUUACUGGGCGUAAAGCGCGCGUAGGUGGUUUUGUAAGUUGGAGGUGAAAUCACCGGGCUCAACCUGGGAACUGCCUCCAAAACUGCAUGACUAGAGUACGGUAGAGGGUAGUGGAAUUUCCUGUGUAGCGGUGAAAUGCGUAGAUAUAGGAAGGAACACCAGUGGCGAAGGCGACUACCUGGACUGAUACUGACACUGAGGUGCGAAAGCGUGGGGAGCAAACAGGAUUAGAUACCCGGGUAGUCC